RNAcentral lists this ribosomal RNA (157 nucleotides) under uncultured Russula. RNAcentral describes it as "5.8S ribosomal RNA". It matches the Rfam family "5.8S ribosomal RNA". Rfam says of the family: 5.8S ribosomal RNA (5.8S rRNA) is a component of the large subunit of the eukaryotic ribosome. It is transcribed by RNA polymerase I as part of the 45S precursor that also contains 18S and 28S rRNA. Functionally, it is thought that 5.8S rRNA may be involved in ribosome translocation. Lineage: Eukaryota; Fungi; Basidiomycota; Agaricomycetes; Russulales; Russulaceae. The record is from RNAcentral.
ACAACUUUCAACAACGGAUCUCUUGGCUCUCGCAUCGAUGAAGAACGCAGCGAAAUGCGAUACGUAAUGUGAAUUGGAGAAUUCAGUGAAUCAUCGAAUCUUUGAACGCACCUUGCGCCCCUUGGCAUUCCGAGGGGCACACCCGUUUGAGUGUSGU